GAUGAACGCUGGCGGCGUGCCUAAUACAUGCAAGUCGAGCGAACGGACGAGAAGCUUGCUUCUCUGAUGUUAGCGGCGGACGGGUGAGUAACACGUGGAUAACCUACCUAUAAGACUGGGAUAACUUCGGGAAACCGUAGCUAAUACCGGAUAAUAUUUUGAACCGCAUGGUUCAAAAGUGAAAGACGGUCUUGCUGUCACUUAUAGAUGGAUCCGCGCUGCAUUAGCUAGUUGGUAAGGUAACGGCUUACCAAGGCAACGAUGCAUAGCCGACCUGAGAGGGUGAUCGGCCACACUGGAACUGAGACACGGUCCAGACUCAUACGGGAGGCAGCAGUAGGGAAUCUUCAGCAAUGGGCGAAAGCCUGACGGAGCAACGCCGCGUGAGUGAUGAAGGUCUUCGGAUCGUAAAACUCUGUUAUUAGGGAAGAACAUAUGUGUAAGUAACUGUGCACAUCUUGACGGUACCUAAUCAGAAAGCCACGGCUAACUACGUG
This 497-nucleotide ribosomal RNA is filed under the name uncultured bacterium. RNAcentral's name for it is "partial 16S ribosomal RNA". It matches the Rfam family "Bacterial small subunit ribosomal RNA", at positions 28 to 507 of the family's 1533-position model. The record is from RNAcentral.